Molecule: long non-coding RNA, 2481 nt
Filed under: Salvia miltiorrhiza (redroot sage)
Lineage: Eukaryota; Viridiplantae; Streptophyta; Magnoliopsida; Lamiales; Lamiaceae
Description: long non-coding RNA (SMIL_LNC009222)
Source: RNAcentral
GAACCAUUUUCCCACAUCCUUAACGUGAAAUAUUUCAUUUACCCGCCCUAUUUUGCGCCAAAAAAUCCUUUAAAAAAAUGAAGGAGGAGCGGUUUCGCGUAGAAGAUGAGACCAGCCACCAUGAAGUACUAUCUAGCAUCAUACACACAAGCCCUAGAAUCAUCACUUCGAGCAUAUUGUCUCAUCAAAUUCACCCAGAACACACCAAUCAAACCCGAAGCUAAUCCCGCAAACCAUCCCAAAUUAGCAAAUUCCUAUUACAUGAAUCCCCUGUUCCACUAAAACCAAAAAAAACAAUCCCCUGGGGAGAAAGUUCUAGCAGAUUGGACAUGAGAAUGGAGCGGCGAAGAUGAAGAUUUAGAAUAAAAUAUUAUGGAGAAAUAUUUUUAGGCAACUUAGGCGUUGGGAAAAUGUUUGGAGGCGUAUUCCGGUUAUUGCGCGGCGCUAGAGGCAGUGGCGGCAACGGUGAAGCAGUCGUUGGCAGAGAAGGUAAAUUGUUUUAAGAUAACUUUUUUCCUUUUAUGUCAUUUAGAAUUUUGAGGGUGAGAUGUGGGGGUCAGUGUGGCUAAAGGGAAUCGGGUAUUGGAAUGAAUUUCACUGUAAUUUAUAUUUGGAUUGAUUUUUUUGGAAGCAGAUGGAAUGGAUAGUGAGAAAGCUAACACUAUAAGGUCAAAACAUUGAGUCACGGAGCAGCGUACAAGGAGUAAGAUCAAUGAGAGGUGAUAUUUUGUAGAAAAGAGAUGUAAAUAUAAAUUAGUAAGCCUUACUGCACGCUCCUGUUGGUAUUGCAAUCUCAGACUGUAAAUCUUUCAUUGAAUAGAGAACUUGUCACUCAAUUUCUUGUUAACGACAAGUUACUGACUUGAUAAGCAUCUAGGGAUCAAAUGUUGAAAAUGGGGAGUGCAACUCGAGUUAUUUUCUUAAUACAAUAUUAGUAUUUUCUAUUUUGCAAAAAGAUUAAAUUUGUAUAUAAAUUCUGAAUUUCAGGAAAAGACAAUCUUGAAGAAAUUGAGGUUUCGUCUUAACUAGCCAACUCCUUAUAUUUUGAUGCUCGGAUUUCUCAAGGCUUCUCAAUUUGAAACAAAGGUAAGGUAUCCAAUAAAAUUUGUGAAAUAAUGUAGACUAUGAUGGAGAUUAUGACUUGAUACUGUGAAUUUUUCUUUCUAUGUUUGUGUAUGCUUAAAUGUAUGUGUAUUUAAAAUACCAGCUGCUAAGUAUGCUUUGAUUUUUCUAAAUUUAGCUACACUGAAUAAGAGGUUGCUUCUAAUUUCUUCUGACAUUUCAAAACAUGUCAUUUUCCCUUCAGAACAUACACAUAUACAAUAUGGAAAAGUAUACGUUUCAAGCUUUGGUAAGUAACUUUUCAAUUUCUUAUAUAAGCUUUUCAACAUUAAUGUGUUGAUGAUGAUUCUUGGAAGUUAGACAUAGGAUACUUGCACUCUGAUAUGAUUUAUAUGCAAGUAUGAGUGUUUAUGCAAUCUCUUUCAUUGUUUGCUUCAUGGAUAUGCAUAUUUAUUAAUUUGGUUUCUUUUACUUUCUUUUAGGCUGUUAGAUGUCUAUAAAUCAUAAAUGGGUUGAUACUUACUAAUUCCUGAUGCUCUUAAUGUAUUACAUUAACUUCUUACUUAUUUGUGGUCUAUUUCUACUUAAGGUUGGAUGAUAGAUAGAUCAGUAAAUAGUUUGACCAAUUUUAUACAAUCUAACAAUGAGUUUGCUAAAUAAAGAACCGAAAUAUUAGUUAGAUUUUACAUUUCUUACUCUAGUAGAUUCCAUGUAGCGUGCUUUUAUUGCAUAGAGAUGAAGCUUAUGAUCAUUUAAUUGCCAAUAGGAUUGAUUCAGAGUUUUAGGAAUGAAUAUAUAUGGUGUUGGGGGGAGGGGAUAAUAUCAUAUUUAGUACCAAUAUAUUCAUAGAGAGGGUGAAAGAAAUUAAAAAAGAAGAGAUAGAAGAAGAAAGACAGAAAGAGAAAUACAAGCAAUGAAAUUUAACAGAAAUAAAUGACUGAGUUUCUAGAUCAAUAUUUCUCUCGUGACUAAGCUUUCCAUUAGUCCAAGAAUAAUGCAUAGUGAAAUCCGCUGCUAACAUUCCCUUAAUUUCCCCACUUUGCCUCUUUUAUUUGCUUUUCAACUAUAAAUAUUGAGUUGCAUAAUUAAUGUUUUACUUUCUGGAGUGGUUAUUCUUUGAUGACAUAUUAUUAUUUUCUUAAUUACAUAUUGAACAGAUGUUGGGUUGCUAUAAUUUUAAAAAGUGAGAAUGAUUUAUAGACAACUGGAGAAAUUAUGUUGUCUAUUUUCUUGUACUUAUUUGUUUGUAUCUUAUUAUGUGUAUUUUAAUAAUAUUGUGUUUCUAUGAUCUUAACAGGAAUAAAUGAUGGAGUUGUCGAUAUGAAGUUAACCAAAAGUGCUUGAAAGAGGAGUUCUGGGAGUUUGAAAGAAAAUCAAAAGUGUUUGAUCAAUUGUAUAAUUAUUUAGACAUGUAGAGCU